Molecule: ribosomal RNA, 200 nt
Filed under: uncultured Methylophilus sp.
Lineage: Bacteria; Pseudomonadati; Pseudomonadota; Betaproteobacteria; Nitrosomonadales; Methylophilaceae
Description: partial 16S ribosomal RNA
Rfam family: Bacterial small subunit ribosomal RNA
Source: RNAcentral
GAUUACUCCUACGGGAGGCAGCAGUGGGGAAUUUUGGACAAUGGGGGCAACCCUGAUCCAGCCAUUCCGCGUGAGUGAAGAAGGCCUUCGGGUUGUAAAGCUCUUUCGCAAGGGAAGAAAACUUAUGAUCGAAUAAAUCAUGAGGUUGACGGUACCUUGAUAAGAAGCACCGGCUAACUACGUGCCAGCAGCCGCGGUAA